AUGCGUAGGGUGCGAGCUUUGUCCGGAAUUACUGGGCGAAAAGAGCGCGUAGGUGGUUUGUCGCGACGUCUGUGAAAUUCCGGGGCUUAACUCGGAUCGUGUAGGCGAUACGCGCUUUACUUGAGUACUGUAGGGGAGAGUGGACUUCCUGGCGCAGCGGUAAGAUGAGCAGAUAUGAGGAGGAACACCGGGGGCGAAGGGGGGUCUCUGGGCAGUAACUGACGCUGAGGAGCGAAAGCAUGGGUAGCGAACAGGAUUAGAUACCCUGGUAGUCCAUGCUGUAAACGGUGGGCGCUAGGUGUAGGGGUCUUCCACGAUUUCUGUGCCGUAGCUAACGCAUUAAGCGCCCCGCCUGGGGAGUACGGCCGCAAGGCUAAAACUCAAAGGAAUUGGCGGGG
This 398-nucleotide ribosomal RNA is filed under the name uncultured bacterium. RNAcentral describes it as "partial 16S ribosomal RNA". It matches the Rfam family "Bacterial small subunit ribosomal RNA", at positions 523 to 918 of the family's 1533-position model. The record is from RNAcentral.